RNAcentral lists this ribosomal RNA (578 nucleotides) under Staphylococcus aureus. RNAcentral describes it as "partial 23S ribosomal RNA". It matches the Rfam family "Bacterial large subunit ribosomal RNA", at positions 407 to 987 of the family's 2925-position model. Lineage: Bacteria; Bacillati; Bacillota; Bacilli; Caryophanales; Staphylococcaceae. The record is from RNAcentral.
CCUGAGUACGACGGAGCACGUGAAAUUCCGUCGGAAUCUGGGAGGACCAUCUCCUAAGGCUAAAUACUCUCUAGUGACCGAUAGUGAACCAGUACCGUGAGGGAAAGGUGAAAAGCACCCCGGAAGGGGAGUGAAAUAGAACCUGAAACCGUGUGCUUACAAGUAGUCAGAGCCCGUUAAUGGGUGAUGGCGUGCCUUUUGUAGAAUGAACCGGCGAGUUACGAUUUGAUGCAAGGUUAAGCAGUAAAUGUGGAGCCGUAGCGAAAGCGAGUCUGAAUAGGGCGUUUAGUAUUUGGUCGUAGACCCGAAACCAGGUGAUCUACCCUUGGUCAGGUUGAAGUUCAGGUAACACUGAAUGGAGGACCGAACCGACUUACGUUGAAAAGUGAGCGGAUGAACUGAGGGUAGCGGAGAAAUUCCAAUCGAACCUGGAGAUAGCUGGUUCUCUCCGAAAUAGCUUUAGGGCUAGCCUCAAGUGAUGAUUAUUGGAGGUAGAGCACUGUUUGGACGAGGGGCCCCUCUCGGGUUACCGAAUUCAGACAAACUCCGAAUGCCAAUUAAUUUAACUUGGGAGUCAG